AAAAUAAGAGUGCCGUCGGCGUCAGAGAAUUUUCAAUUAAUAGCGAUUGGUGAAAUUCAUAGGUAUUUUACAAAACGAUGCUGUCGGCAAGACUUUGUGCUGUGACGAUUCUGUUCUUACUGCUGGGAACAUGCUUCGGGCAAGAAUCUGGAGCCGGAGGAUGCCAAUGUACCAAAAAAUGCCAGAAAGGGUUCUGUAAGCUGGAACGCUGUGGACCGAAGUGCGAAUACGUUGUGUGCUGCCCCGAAAAACACCUACGAUGCAAAUGCGAAAAUAAAAUUGGAUAGGCGUCCAAUAUGACCUUUGACAAAUAACGCCGCCUCGGCCAGCUUUUUCAUUAUAUAAUUAACGUGGUCGUUUGAAGGCAAAAAAAUGGAAAUUAAUUUUCAUGUUACACAUUUUCUUCAACGUUUGAAAAAUAAUACAAUGAACGGA
Molecule: long non-coding RNA, 435 nt
Organism: Dreissena polymorpha
Lineage: Eukaryota; Metazoa; Mollusca; Bivalvia; Myida; Dreissenidae
Exons: 4
Source: RefSeq, a predicted model, not a curated record